Long non-coding RNA from Adelges cooleyi (spruce gall adelgid), 927 nucleotides. RefSeq lists it as uncharacterized. The transcript has 3 exons. The record is from RefSeq and is a predicted model, not a curated record. NCBI's taxonomy places the organism in Eukaryota, Metazoa, Arthropoda, Insecta, Hemiptera, Adelgidae.
CAGCGUCGAGUUGGACUUUUAUGUCUUAUAAUUAAAGUAAAUUUGUGUGACGGAACGAAUAUUAAAGUAUACAUUUAUGAACGCGUUUGUCACUUCUACGGUUGAUGAUGAACUGUGCCAAGGAUAGUUAUCAAAUACUUUUACAGUACACAAAGUUUUUAAAAACUAGUGGUAAUUAUACAUCAUUUAAGACCAUUGGCAUAUCAAUGGGAGAAGGAUUUUUCAAUAAAAUAAUAACAAAAUGUUGAUAUUUUGAAAACAAUACACCGUUAACUAGUACUGCAAAAUUGUUGUCGUAGUCAUGGUCAGUGCAUUUACACACCAGUGGUUAUGUUUAACAUGUAAUGACUUCAAAUAAAUAACCCGGACAUUGUAACCGGAAAAUUGUUUAUAUUAUCUACCGUUUGAAAAUUGAAGUAAUCCUUCAUAAUAUGCUCGAAACUAAAUUACAAGAAAACUAAAUGAAUAUAAUUUGCCAUGAUAACAUCACCUAAAACAAAUAUCUCAUUAGAGUUAACAUGUAUAAGGUAAGUUUUACUGAUAACAGCUAAUCAUAACUUUUAUUUUUUUUGAGUUAGAGAGCCGAAAUGUUUAACCCAUAUCAAGUUUAGCCAACCACAUAUACUGUGCAAAUUUUAGACGCCUACAUUCAAUAUAUAGCGAGAAAAAUAUCCAUUAAAAUGAAACUUAAUCACCCAAUCAAUUGGAAAAAUCGAUUCCGUAUAGUCGACAUCAACGGGAGACCAACUCUCAUACAUAUCCACGGACAGAAUGCCAAGUUGUUCUAUUUUCGAUAAGAAUAUAUAUAGUCUUACUCCCAUGCAGAGAUUCGAAAAACAAAUUUUUCAGAGAACCGUAGCUUCCAAUUUGAGGAAUCAGUAUAAUAUUAUGAGCAAUUAAAAUUGUUAUUAUUAUUAACUAUAGAAU